UGGGGAAUUUUUCGCAAUGGGCGCAAGCCUGACGAAGCAACGCCGCGUGGAGGAUGAAGGUCUUCGGAUCGUAAACCCCUGUCGAAUGGGACGAAAGACUCGCGAGUGAAUACUUCGCGAGAGUGACGGUACCGUUAAAGGAAGCCACGGCUAACUCUGUGCCAGCAGCCGCGGUAAUACAGAGGUGGCAAGCGUUGUUCGGAAUUACUGGGCGUAAAGGGCGCGUAGGCGGCAAUUCAAGUCAUCUGUGAAAUCUCCGGGCUUAACUCGGAACGGUCAGAUGAUACUGCUUUGCUAGAGUGCAGAAGGGGCAAUCGGAAUUCUUGGUGUAGCGGUGAAAUGCGUAGAUAUCAAGAGGAACACCUGAGGUGAAGACGGGUUGCUGGGCUGACACUGACGCUGAGGCGCGAAAGCCAGGGGAGCAAACGGGAUUAGAUACCCUUGUAGUCCCUGAGCGGGCUGGCAAGGCGCAU
This 473-nucleotide ribosomal RNA is filed under the name uncultured bacterium. RNAcentral describes it as "bacterial SSU rRNA". It matches the Rfam family "Bacterial small subunit ribosomal RNA", at positions 355 to 825 of the family's 1533-position model. The record is from RNAcentral.